Molecule: RNA transcript, 2827 nt
Organism: Manacus vitellinus (golden-collared manakin)
Lineage: Eukaryota; Metazoa; Chordata; Aves; Passeriformes; Pipridae
Gene: EYA4
Gene name: EYA transcriptional coactivator and phosphatase 4
Exons: 20
Source: RefSeq, a predicted model, not a curated record
CAGGGAUUGCAGCCGAGCACACGGAGGGACACGCUGAAGUCGCGCGUGGCGGUGUGAAAUAGCUAGUACUUAGAAAAAUCCUGGGAGACAAGCUGUACGAGACAAGGGAGCGCCUUGGCCGGUUCGAGUUUAAGCGUGAAGUCAUGCUAGAACAACUACUGAGCUGUAAAUUAAAGGGAAGAUAAUUUCUGCUCGUGGAGGAAAAGAAACGCGAAUAACCUCAAUGGAAGACUCUCAGGAUCUAAGUGAACAGUCAGUAAAGAAAGCGUGUACAGAGUCAGAUGGUUCAGAGACGCAGAAUCCCAGGUCUAUGGAAAUGCAGGAUCUAGCCAGUCCUCAUAAUCUUGUUGGAAGUAGUGAUGCACCAGGUAGUUCCAAACUGGAUAAGUCUAGUCUUAGUAGCACAUCAGUUACAACAAAUGGAACAGGAGGAGACAACAUGACUGUGUUAAAUACUGCAGACUGGUUGCUGAGUUGUAGUACUCCCUCCUCUGCAACAAUGUCUCUUCUUGCAGUCAAAACAGAACCCAUGAACAACAGUGAAACAACAACAACAACUGGAGAUGGAUCGCUUGACACUUUUACUGGGUCAGUAAUAACAAGUAGUGGCUACAGUCCAAGAUCAGCGCACCAGUACUCUCCGCAAAUAUAUCCGUCCAAGCCCUAUCCACACAUUCUUUCUACACCAGCAGCUCAAACAAUGUCUGCCUAUGCCGGACAAACCCAGUAUUCAGGAAUGCAGCAACCAGCGGUCUAUACAGCCUACUCACAGACAGGACAGCCCUACAGCUUACCCACUUACGAUUUGGGUGUAAUGUUGCCAGGCAUCAAGACAGAAAGUGGGCUCUCGCAGACCCAAUCACCACUGCAGAGCGGGUGCCUCAGUUACAGCCCGGGGUUUUCGACCCCACAGCCAGGCCAAACACCCUACUCUUAUCAGAUGCCAGGUUCUAGUUUUACACCGUCGUCCACAAUUUACUCAAACAAUUCUGUUUCGAAUUCCACAAACUUCAGUAGUUCACAACAGGAUUAUCCAUCAUACACAGCUUUUGGCCAAAAUCAAUAUGCACAGUAUUACUCAGCAUCAACAUAUGGUACAUAUAUGACCUCAAACAACACGGCUGAUGGCACUUCAUCAUCAUCAUCAACCUACCAGUUACAGGACUCUCUCCCUGGCUUGACUAGUCAACCAGGUACAGAUCUACAUUCAGGGGAGUUUGACACAGUGCAGAGCCCCUCCACGCCAAUUAAAGAUCUUGAUGAGAGAACAUGUAGGAGUUCUGGGUCGAAGUCUAGGGGUAGAGGACGGAAGAAUAAUCCAUCACCCCCUCCGGACAGUGACUUGGAGCGUGUAUUUGUUUGGGAUUUGGAUGAAACAAUCAUAGUUUUUCAUUCACUGCUUACAGGAUCCUAUGCACAAAAGUAUGGCAAGGAUCCACCAAUGGCAGUGACGCUUGGACUGAGAAUGGAAGAAAUGAUUUUUAAUCUUGCUGACACACAUUUAUUUUUUAAUGAUUUAGAGGAGUGUGAUCAAGUUCAUAUAGAUGAUGUUUCUUCUGAUGAUAACGGACAAGACCUAAGUACCUACAGUUUUGCAACUGAUGGCUUCCAUGCAGCUGCAAGUAGUGCAAACCUUUGUCUGCCAACAGGUGUAAGAGGAGGGGUUGACUGGAUGAGGAAGCUGGCUUUCCGUUACAGAAGAGUAAAAGAGUUGUAUAAUACUUACAAGAACAACAUAGGAGGACUCCUGGGUCCCGCUAAAAGAGAUGCAUGGUUGCAAUUAAGAGCAGAGAUUGAAGCUUUGACAGACUCCUGGCUAACAAAUGCACUUAAAUCAUUAUCAAUUAUCAGCACAAGGAGUAAUUGUGUAAACGUAUUGGUAACAACGACCCAGCUUAUCCCAGCACUUGCAAAAGUUCUACUAUACAGUUUAGGAGGAGCUUUUCCUAUUGAAAAUAUUUACAGUGCAACCAAAAUAGGCAAAGAGAGCUGUUUUGAGCGUAUAGUGUCCAGAUUUGGCACUAACAUAACUUAUGUUGUGAUUGGAGAUGGCCGAGAUGAGGAACAUGCAGCUAAUCAGGUAACUUCACUCUGAACUCUUAUCUCAUUUAUCUUCCAGGAAAAGAAAGUUGCUUUGAACGAAUAAUGCAAAGGUUUGGCAGAAAAGUAGUAUAUGUUGUAAUUGGGGAUGGUGUAGAAGAAGAACAGGCAGCAAAAAAGUGUCUCUUACAGGUACUGACUGUGACCUUGGAUUCUUAUGUCCAUGCUGCCCUUGUGGUUCAUGCCUGGAGCAACCCUGAGCCUGUGCAUGUGGUCUGGUGCAGACUGGCUCACCUGCAGACUGUUUGCAGGGUACAGCCUUAGAGAGAAUCUACCCCUGCUCUCCACUGAGGCUUCCUCACCAAGAACAUUAGGUGCCUUGCUUCAGAUGCAGCCUGAGUGACAACUAACACCUUUGUUGCAGUGUCCUUGGGACAAAAUACAGAACAAACGCAAAUUUGAUGGUCUAGACACACAGUGUAUGCAUAUAAAUUCCCUUGCCAAUUCACUUAUUAAUAUUAUGCUAGUAUUCUUAUGGACAUGGGUUGUUAGGAGACAGACUGGGCUACUGAGGGGCAAGCAGCCUUUCCAGUUGAAGAUUGUCCUCGUGAAAUUUUAUAAAUGUCUUUGGGAGCUGUACUUCAUGUCUUAGUGAGGUACUGACCUUCGUGUGAAGAAAGCAGUCCCUCCACAGUCUGCUGUGGAAGGCCAAGGUGGGAUUGCAGGACUGUCAGCACACUUAGACGUGACAUUAUGAUCUUGGAACAACAUAACAAGUAGCAGAGCC